RNAcentral lists this ribosomal RNA (392 nucleotides) under uncultured bacterium. RNAcentral's name for it is "partial 16S ribosomal RNA". It matches the Rfam family "Bacterial small subunit ribosomal RNA", at positions 523 to 918 of the family's 1533-position model. The record is from RNAcentral.
AUACGGAGGAUCCGAGCGUUAUCCGGAUUUAUUGGGUUUAAAGGGUGCGCAGGCGGCCAUUUAAGUCAGCGGUUAAAUCGUGGGGCUCAACCCCAUUCUGCCGUUGAUACUGGGUGGCUUGAUUGCGGUCGAGGUUGGCGGAAUUCGUUGUGUAGCGGUGAAAUGCAUAGAUAUGACGAAGAACACCGAUUGCGUAGGCAGCUGACCAGACCGCAAAUGACGCUCAUGCACGAAAGUGCGGGGAUCGAACAGGAUUAGAUACCCUGGUAGUCCGCACAGUAAACGAUGAAUACUUGUUUUCGGCGAUAUAAUGUCGGAGGCAAAGCGAAAGCGAUAAGUAUUCCACCUGGGGAGUCCGCCGGCAACGGUGAAACUCAAAUGAAUUGACGGGG